AUUGCUUCUUGGCCUUUUAGCUAAGAUCAAGUAUAGUAUCUGUUCUUAUCAGUUUAAUAUCUGAUAUGUCCUUUAUCCAAGGACAAUAUAUUAAAUGGAUUUUUGGAGCAGGGAGUGGGAAUAGGAGCUUGCUCCGUCUACUCCAUUCAUUGACCUGAUAUUGCAGUACUUCAAGGAAUGGUGCACCCUGC
Nycticebus coucang (slow loris) is the source of this 191-nucleotide small nuclear RNA. RefSeq annotates it as U2 spliceosomal RNA. NCBI's taxonomy places the organism in Eukaryota, Metazoa, Chordata, Mammalia, Primates, Lorisidae. The record is from RefSeq and is a predicted model, not a curated record. The transcript has a single exon.